CUUUGCAGUUCAGCAUUUCAGCAGCUCACUGAUCUUUUCUGAUCUUGAAAACUAAGCAGUUCAGGGUUGCUUAAUACUUGGAUGAGAGAGCAUCUGGGAAUCUCAGGUACUACAGAUU
RNAcentral lists this ribosomal RNA (118 nucleotides) under Salvator merianae (Argentine black and white tegu). Lineage: Eukaryota; Metazoa; Chordata; Lepidosauria; Squamata; Teiidae. The record is from RNAcentral.